RNAcentral lists this ribosomal RNA (253 nucleotides) under uncultured bacterium. RNAcentral's name for it is "partial 16S ribosomal RNA". It matches the Rfam family "Bacterial small subunit ribosomal RNA", at positions 524 to 776 of the family's 1533-position model. The record is from RNAcentral.
UACGUAGGGGGCAAGCGUUAUCCGGAUUUACUGGGUGUAAAGGGAGCGUAGACGGCAGUGCAAGUCUGGAGUGAAAGGCGGGGGCUCAACCCCCGGACUGCUCUGGAAACUGUACGGCUGGAGUGCAGGAGAGGUAAGUGGAAUUCCUAGUGUAGCGGUGAAAUGCGUAGAUCUUAGGAGGAACACCAGUGGCGAAGGCGGCUUACUGGACUGUAACUGACGUUGAGGCUCGAAAGCGUGGGGAGCAAACAGG